GUCCGUACAUCUGCAUGCCACA
RNAcentral lists this microRNA (22 nucleotides) under Pristionchus pacificus. RNAcentral's name for it is "ppc-miR-8238-5p". The record is from miRBase by way of RNAcentral. Lineage: Eukaryota; Metazoa; Nematoda; Chromadorea; Rhabditida; Neodiplogasteridae.